RNAcentral lists this ribosomal RNA (470 nucleotides) under uncultured bacterium. RNAcentral's name for it is "bacterial SSU rRNA". It matches the Rfam family "Bacterial small subunit ribosomal RNA", at positions 30 to 507 of the family's 1533-position model. The record is from RNAcentral.
AUUGAACGCUGGCGGCGUGGAUUAGGCAUGCAAGUCGGACGGUAGAGCUUUAUCGUAAGAUAGAGUUUGAGAGUGGCGAACGGGUGAGUAACACGUAGGAAUCUACCCUUAAGACGGGGACAACCCAGGGAAACUUGGGCUAAUACCGGAUGAGAGUGCGAGAGAUUGCAUUUAAAAGGAUGGCGAAAGUUGUCGCUUAGGGAUGAGCCUGCGGUCUAUUAGUUAGUUGGUGGGGUAAUGGCCUACCUAGGCGACGAUCAGUAGCCGGCCUGAGAGGGUGAACGGCCACACUGGAACUGAGACACGGUCCAGACUCCUACGGGAGGCAGCAGUGGGGAAUAUUGCACAAUGGGCGCAAGCCUGAUGCAGCGACGCCGCGUGAGCGAAGAAGGUUUUCGGAUCGUAAAGCUCUGUCCUCUGGGAAGAAAAAAAUGACGGUACCAGAGGAGGAAGCCCCGGCUAACUACGUG